This 341-nucleotide ribosomal RNA is filed under the name uncultured cyanobacterium. Its description in RNAcentral is "bacterial SSU rRNA". It matches the Rfam family "Bacterial small subunit ribosomal RNA", at positions 468 to 807 of the family's 1533-position model. The record is from RNAcentral. Lineage: Bacteria; Bacillati; Cyanobacteriota.
AAUGACGUGUACCUGAAGAAUAAGCAUCGGCUAACUCCGUGCCAGCAGCCGCGGUAAGACGGAGGAUGCAAGUGUUAUCCGGAAUCACUGGGCGUAAAGCGUCUGUAGGUGGUUUAAUAAGUCAACUGUUAAAUCUUGAAGCUCAACUUCAAAAUCGCAGUCGAAACUAUUAGACUAGAGUAUAGUAGGGGUAAAGGGAAUUUCCAGUGGAGCGGUGAAAUGCGUAGAUAUUGGGAAGAACACCGAUGGCGAAGGCACUUUACUGGGCUAUUACUGACACUCAGAGACGAAAGCUAGGGUAGCAAAUGGGAUUAGAUACCCCAGUAGUCCUAGCUGUAAAC